UCGGCGGUGUCCACCUCUUCCCAUUCCGAACAGAGAAGUUAAGCCCGCCAGAGCCGAUGGUACUGCAGUAACAUGUGGGAGAGUAGGUCGGUGCCAAAU
Molecule: ribosomal RNA, 99 nt
Filed under: Pedobacter sp.
Lineage: Bacteria; Pseudomonadati; Bacteroidota; Sphingobacteriia; Sphingobacteriales; Sphingobacteriaceae
Source: RNAcentral